Molecule: long non-coding RNA, 595 nt
Organism: Musa acuminata AAA Group (dessert banana)
Lineage: Eukaryota; Viridiplantae; Streptophyta; Magnoliopsida; Zingiberales; Musaceae
Exons: 4
Source: RefSeq, a predicted model, not a curated record
GGUUAUUUCCCUCGGACGACGAUGCAUCUCUUCGUUGAGCGAUCGAGACAGCGCGACGGAGAUCGUCCGACGAGAGGGCGAUUCCAUCGCCUCAAAUUUCCACUAAUUCGAUCUCUUUCAAGAAACAAGAAAGAAGAACGUCGAUUGCCCUUGUUCGAUCUUAGGAUCCAUCUUUCUCCUUUCGAAGCUCGGUUGUGACCACCAAAUCCCUCGCGGCGCCCGUCAAAUCAGCCAUCGACAAGAUCCAGCUCCGCGCCGCCUUCUUGAGGGUGCGAGGGCUGGUGAAGCAACCCAUCGAUUCUUUUCAUUACUUCGUCAACCAUGAAAUCAAGAACAUGAAAGCCAUCGAUCUCCUCGUCUGCCGUCAUGAGCCCAGCUUCUAUCACAUCCAAACACACGACGUUUGCAAGCAGUGUGGAGAUUGUUCGCCGGCUGCAGACAACCUUCUGUCUAAUGUUGCAGCUGGUAUCCAAUAAAUAGCUGUCACAACGCCGGGAAACAUGAGCUAUUGAUCAAAUCAAGAGAAUCUCGAGUAUGUUACAAGAAAUAAAAAAUGAGGCAAAUAACUUCUCUUGAAUUGUGCCUCGCAACUCAU